Molecule: ribosomal RNA, 430 nt
Filed under: uncultured bacterium
Lineage: Bacteria
Description: bacterial SSU rRNA
Rfam family: Bacterial small subunit ribosomal RNA
Source: RNAcentral
GAUGAACGCUGGCGGCGCGCCUAACACAUGCAAGUCGAACGGCACCUGCCUUCGGGCAGAAGCGAGUGGCGAACGGCUGAGUAACACGUGGAGAACCUGCCCCCUCCCCCGGGAUAGCCGCCCGAAAGGACGGGUAAUACCGGAUACCCCGGGGUGCCGCAUGGCACCCCGGCUAAAGCCCCGACGGGAGGGGAUGGCUCCGCGGCCCAUCAGGUAGACGGCGGGGUGACGGCCCACCGUGCCGACAACGGGUAGCCGGGUUGAGAGACCGACCGGCCAGAUUGGGACUGAGACACGGCCCAGACUCCUACGGGAGGCAGCAGUGGGGAAUCUUGCGCAAUGGGGGGAACCCUGACGCAGCGACGCCGCGUGCGGGACGGAGGCCUUCGGGUCGUAAACCGCUUUCAGCAGGGAAGAGUCAAGACUGUAC